Molecule: long non-coding RNA, 187 nt
Organism: Protobothrops mucrosquamatus (brown spotted pit viper)
Lineage: Eukaryota; Metazoa; Chordata; Lepidosauria; Squamata; Viperidae
Exons: 3
Source: RefSeq, a predicted model, not a curated record
GCAUGGCGGACUUCCUGUCCGGACAAAUCCGCCGUCCGCCAGGGCCUUUGGAAAACGACCUUUCCCAUCGUGGUGGUGGUCGAAGGAGGUCCCAAAGCGCAGACGAAAUUUAAGCGGCUCACGUUACACCGAAUAAAAUGGGAUGAGCGGACGUCAAACACAAAAGGAGAUGAUGAUGAGGAAUCUG